Molecule: ribosomal RNA, 528 nt
Filed under: uncultured bacterium
Lineage: Bacteria
Description: bacterial SSU rRNA
Rfam family: Bacterial small subunit ribosomal RNA
Source: RNAcentral
AUGACGCUGGCGGCAUGCNUAACACAUGCAAGUCGAGCGGCAGCAUGAUGUGUAGCAAUACAUAUUGAUGGCGAGCGGCGGACGGGUGAGUAAUGCAUGGGAAUCUGCCCAGUAGCGGGGGACAACCCGGAGAAAUCCGGGCUAAUACCGCAUACGCCCUACGGGGGAAAGGGGGGGACCGAAAGGCCUCUCACUAUUGGAGGAACCCAUGUCCGAUUAGCUAGUUGGUGAGGUAACGGCUCACCAAGGCGACGAUCGGUAGCUGGUCUGAGAGGACGAUCAGCCACACCGGAACUGAGACACGGUCCGGACUCCUAUGUGAGGCAGCAGUGGGGAAUAUUGGACAAUGGGGGAAACCCUGAUCCAGCAAUGCCGCGUGGGUGAAGAAGGCCUGCGGGUUGUAAAGCCCUUUCGGUGAAGACAAAACGCGCCACAUUAAUACUGUGGUGUUUUGAUUUAUUCAUUAUUGAAGCAUCGAUUAACUUUUGUGCCCUCAGCCGCGGUAUAACUGCCUAAUUCUUUCCCUCA